Molecule: unclassified non-coding RNA, 243 nt
Filed under: Strongyloides stercoralis
Lineage: Eukaryota; Metazoa; Nematoda; Chromadorea; Rhabditida; Strongyloididae
Description: partial 18S small subunit ribosomal RNA
Rfam family: Eukaryotic small subunit ribosomal RNA
Source: RNAcentral
AUAUUAUUAUUUUGUUUAUUUUAAUAUAAAUAAUUAAUAUUUUAAUAACAGAUUAAUAGUGUUUAACUAUUUGAGAGAGAGCGAUAACAGGUCUGUGAUGCCCUUAGAUGUCCGGGGCUGCACGCGCGCUACAAUGUAGUGAUCAUUAUGUUCCUGUUUAGAGAUAAAUGGGUAAACAUUGAAAACAUUACGUAACUGGGAGUGAAAAUUGCAAUUAUUUUUCAUGAACGAGGAAUUCCAAGU